GAUGAACGCUGGCGGCGUGCCUAAUACAUGCAAGUCGAGCGAACAGACGAGGAGCUUGCUCCUCUGACGUUAGCGGCGGACGGGUGAGUAACACGUGGAUAACCUACCUAUAAGACUGGGAUAACUUCGGGAAACCGGAGCUAAUACCGGAUAAUAUAUUGAACCGCAUGGUUCAAUAGUGAAAGACGGUUUUGCUGUCACUUAUAGAUGGAUCCGCGCCGCAUUAGCUAGUUGGUAAGGUAACGGCUUACCAAGGCAACGAUGCGUAGCCGACCUGAGAGGGUGAUCGGCCCCACUGGAACUGAGACACGGUCCAGACUCCUACGGGAGGCAGCAGUAGGGAAUCUUCCGGAAUGGGCGAAAGCUUGACGGAGCAACGCCGCGUGAGUGAUGAAGGUCUUCGGAUCGUAAAACUCUGUUAUUAGGGAAGAACAAAUGUGUAAGUAACUAUGCACGUCUUGACGGUACCUAAUCAGAAAGCCACGGCUAACUACGUG
This 497-nucleotide ribosomal RNA is filed under the name uncultured bacterium. Its description in RNAcentral is "partial 16S ribosomal RNA". It matches the Rfam family "Bacterial small subunit ribosomal RNA", at positions 28 to 507 of the family's 1533-position model. The record is from RNAcentral.